Ictidomys tridecemlineatus (thirteen-lined ground squirrel) is the source of this 1142-nucleotide long non-coding RNA. RefSeq lists it as uncharacterized. NCBI's taxonomy places the organism in Eukaryota, Metazoa, Chordata, Mammalia, Rodentia, Sciuridae. The record is from RefSeq and is a predicted model, not a curated record.
CCAGAGGGAAGGCACAUUUUGGAUUCACAGCCAGUUUUCUUUCAUUCCCCUCACAGCCACCAUUAAUUAGGUGGUCUUCUUGGAGCAGGUCACGCCCAACAGCUUAUGGCACUAUAUUAAAAAAAAAAAAAAAGCUACCCAGUCUGGCUCCAUUUCCGUGAGGAUGUGGGGUGGUUUCUAUGGGAUCCUAAGGGAUACCAUAACCCCCCACCCCAGGCAUGGCUCUGCCUGGUGGUGGCAGGAUAUCCAGUGACUGACGGGCUGGUGGAGGAAGGGAUGACACACAGUCAUCCUCACUCCCCACCCAUCUGCCUCUGGAUCAACACCUGGCAAGUCUGGCUGGAGUCAGGGGCUUUGAUGUGGCUGAAACCCAGGCCAAAACAAGGGGGAGGCAUGGCCUCGGGACACACAGAGCUGUCGAAAGGCCACCCCACAGAAAGCUCUCCUCUUCCUCUGGGAGUCUGGGACCCAACUCAGGCUCUCCUGGCCUCCUGGGUGAGGAGCUGGGUAAGCCCACCAGCCCCCUGCACUAUCCCCUUUCCCCUUCUAAAACCCUCAAUCUCCUUGGAAACCGGAGUGAAGGGCAAGGAGUGCCUAAGCCUUCAAGGGAGUUACCCAUACCUGCCCCUUGAUCUGUCCAUAGAAACUGGCUGGAUCUUCACUGUAUUGGCUGCUGGGGAGCUGAGGACCCAGAUUUGGGAGGCAGCCUGGUGGCGUCUUGUGGCCUGGGUGUCUACUUGUGCCAGUUCUGUGGCCCUAGCAAUGCCACCUCCUCCCAGGGGAAUGUCUGUUAUCGUCUGAGAACUGAGGAUGCUGUUGCUCCAUCCACCCUCAGGAACGCUGGAAAGGUGCUCCGGCCCUUGGAAUCAUCCAGGGGUCCUGUCUUCCUCUACAUCCACAUCCAAUCUCAGGGCAAAUUCUGUUGGCUGUGGACCCAGAGUCCAAACCCUUCUCAUUCUCCAUGGCUACUGCCCCAGCCAAACCCGAGGUUCUGAAUGGCCUGCUUCAGAACUUGUGCCCAACAGCCUGCUCUCAACAUGGCCACCAGAGUGUCCUCUAAACAGAGGCUGGAGGCUUCAAACUGCAUUCAUGGUUCUGAAUGUGACAAGUGGGCAAAAUAAUAAAGAUGUCUGUCCCCUUAA